RNAcentral lists this ribosomal RNA (482 nucleotides) under uncultured bacterium. RNAcentral's name for it is "partial 16S ribosomal RNA". It matches the Rfam family "Bacterial small subunit ribosomal RNA", at positions 30 to 507 of the family's 1533-position model. The record is from RNAcentral.
AUUGAACGCUGGCGGCAUGCUUUACACAUGCAAGUCGAACGGUAACAGCACUUCGGUGGCUGACGAGUGGCGAACGGGUGAGUAAUACAUCGGAACGUGCCUAGUAGUGGGGGAUAACUACUCGAAAGAGUAGCUAAUACCGCAUGAGAUCUAAGGAUGAAAGCAGGGGACCUUCGGGCCUUGCGCUACUAGAGCGGCUGAUGGCAGAUUAGGUAGUUGGUGGGAUAAAAGCUUACCAAGCCGACGGUCUGUAGCUGGUCUGAGAGGACGACCAGCCACACUGGGACUGAGACACGGCCCAGACUCCUACGGGAGGCAGCAGUGGGGAAUUUUGGACAAUGGGCGCAAGCCUGAUCCAGCAAUGCCGCGUGCAGGAUGAAGGCCUUCGGGUUGUAAACUGCUUUUGUACGGAACGAAAAGCCCUCUUCUAAUACAGGAGGGUCAUGACGGUACCGUAAGAAUAAGCACCGGCUAACUACGUG